This 885-nucleotide ribosomal RNA is filed under the name uncultured bacterium. Its description in RNAcentral is "bacterial SSU rRNA". It matches the Rfam family "Bacterial small subunit ribosomal RNA", at positions 21 to 877 of the family's 1533-position model. The record is from RNAcentral.
GGCUCAGAACGAACGCUGGCGGCGUGCCUAACACAUGCAAGUCGAGCGCGAACGACCCCUUCGGGGGACUAGUAGAGCGGCGGACGGGUGAGUAAUACAUGGAUAAUCUCCCUUCGAGCCCGGGAUAACACUGCGAAAGCGGUGCUAAUACCGGAUAAGACCACGAGGCCCAGGCCUUGCGGGAAAAGGUGGCUUUGUUUUCGGAUGAGGCUAUCACUUGAUGAUGAGUCCAUGGCCUAUCAGCUUGUUGGCGAGGUAACGGCUCACCAAGGCAAUGACGGGUAGCUGGUCUGAGAGGACGACCAGCCACACUGGGACUGAGACACGGCCCAGACUCCUACGGGAGGCAGCAGUGGGGAAUAUUGGGCAAUGGGCGAAAGCCUGACCCAGCGACGCCGUGUGGGUGAUGAAGGCCUUCGGGUUGUAAAGCCCUGUUGGGUGGAAAGAAGGGCUCAGGGACGAAUAAUCCUUGAGCUUUGACGGUACCACCAGAGGAAGCACCGGCUAACUCCGUGCCAGCAGCCGCGGUAAUACGGAGGGUGCAAGCGUUGUUCGGAAUUACUGGGCGUAAAGGGCGCGUAGGUGGUUGUGUAAGUCAGAUGUGAAAUCCCGAGGCUCAACUUCGGAACUGCAUCUGAUACUGCAUGACUCGAGUGCAGCAGAGGGAAACGGAAUUCCUGGUGUAGAGGUGAAAUUCGUAGAUAUCAGGAGGAACACCGGUGGCGAAGGCGGUUUCCUGGGCUGACACUGACACUGAGGCGCGAAAGCGUGGGUAGCAAACAGGAUUAGAUACCCUGGUAGUCCACGCUGUAAACGGUGAAUACUGGGUGUGGGAGGUGUAAUGCCUUCUGUGCCGAAGCAAACGCGUUAAGUAUUCCGCCUGGG